AGAACGAACGCUGGCGGCAGGCUUAACACAUGCAAGUCGAGCGCUCAGCAAUGAGAGCGGCGCACGGGUGAGUAACACGUGGGAACGUGCCCUUUGGUUCGGAAUAACUCAGGGAAACUUGAGCUAAUACCGGAUAAGCCCUUACGGGGAAAGAUUUAUCGCCAUUGGAGCGGCCCGCGUCCGAUUAGCUAGUUGGUGAGGUAAAGGCUCACCAAGGCGACGAUCGGUAGCUGGUCUGAGAGGACGACCAGCCACACUGGGACUGAGACACGGCCCAGACUCCUACGGGAGGCAGCAGUGGGGAAUCUUGGACAAUGGGGGAACCCUGAUCCAGCCAUGCCGCGUGAGUGAUGAAGGCCCUAGGGUUGUAAAACUCUUUCGGCGGGACGAUAAUGACGGUACCCGCAGAAGAAGCUCCGGCUAACUUCGCGCCAGCAGCCGC
RNAcentral lists this ribosomal RNA (442 nucleotides) under uncultured bacterium. Its description in RNAcentral is "SSU rRNA". It matches the Rfam family "Bacterial small subunit ribosomal RNA", at positions 26 to 518 of the family's 1533-position model. The record is from RNAcentral.